GGACAGGUGUGCACCCCAAUCUCAAAUCAUCCCAGUAAGCAUGGAUAUGGAAGAUCUGCACAACCUGCAGCUUCAGUCCCUGUGCUGGUUUUGGUUAAGAGGAAUUAUGGAGUCAUGGAAAGGAAGACACAAGUGAUAUAAACCAGAAUACACAUAUUGCCAAAAUCACUCCAGCGUUACCUUGAGCAUCUCUGAAAUGCAAAGCAAAAGCAAAACAUUGAGAAUAAGCCUUUUCCAAUAUGUAAAUGGAGCAUCCAGGGCAGUGUGAGGCUGGCAGCAGCGUACUGCACUUUGUGUGUUGGUUGCAGCUCACUCACAUGCUGUGGUGUCAAUAUUUCAGUGCAGAGUGCUUUACAUCACAAUAAGAAAAGAGGAUGCUCUGGUGGAUAGCGUAUGCAUUUCAGUUCCAUCCGUUGAGCCUCAUCCGAGCUGACACUAUUGGAAUAAAGUAGAUUGUCAGAGGCUGGGCAGAGCACUUUUAUCAUUUGCAAGUAUUGGC
Molecule: long non-coding RNA, 499 nt
Filed under: Gallus gallus (chicken)
Lineage: Eukaryota; Metazoa; Chordata; Aves; Galliformes; Phasianidae
Description: long non-coding RNA NONGGAT007871
Source: RNAcentral